GACGAACGCUGGCGGCGUGCCUAAUACAUGCAAGUAGAACGCUGAAGGAGGAGCUUGCUUCUCUGGAUGAGUUGCGAACGGGUGAGUAACGCGUAGGUAACCUGCCUGGUAGCGGGGGAUAACUAUUGGAAACGAUAGCUAAUACCGCAUAAGAGUAGAUGUUGCAUGACAUUUGCUUAAAAGGUGCAAUUGCAUCACUACCAGAUGGACCUGCGUUGUAUUAGCUAGUUGGUGGGGUAACGGCUCACCAAGGCGACGAUACAUAGCCGACCUGAGAGGGGGAUCGGCCCCACUGGGACUGGGACACGGCCCAGACUCCUACGGGAGGCAGCAGUAGGGAAUCUUCGGCAAUGGACGGAAGUCUGACCGAGCAACGCCGCGUGAGUGAAGAAGGUUUUCGGAUCGUAAAGCUCUGUUGUAAGAGAAGAACGAGUGUGAGAGUGGAAAGUUCACACUGUGACGGUAUCUUACCAGAAAGGGACGGCUAACUACGUG
RNAcentral lists this ribosomal RNA (495 nucleotides) under uncultured bacterium. RNAcentral describes it as "partial 16S ribosomal RNA". It matches the Rfam family "Bacterial small subunit ribosomal RNA", at positions 28 to 507 of the family's 1533-position model. The record is from RNAcentral.